Molecule: ribosomal RNA, 870 nt
Filed under: Triticum aestivum (bread wheat)
Lineage: Eukaryota; Viridiplantae; Streptophyta; Magnoliopsida; Poales; Poaceae
Description: partial small subunit ribosomal RNA
Source: RNAcentral
AUGUACAACAGUAGCUUGUUUCUUUUUCCCAUUGCGUCUGGAGGAACUAUAUACUUCCCAGUAUUUCUUUGGUUCACCUUACUAACAAUACUUUUAGCGACGACAUUUGGGGUCACAUCAGCAAUCCUUCUAAAUGGCUCUCCAGGACCUUGGAUCCAAUGUAAAAAUGGCUUACGACAGGGCGACCCUCUCUCCCCCUUUUUAUUCAUCAUCGUUGCGGACGUUCUCCAACGAAUGAUUAUUGAUGCUUGUGAUAACCACCUCAUUGCUCACCCUGUCACAACCUCCAUGCCCAGCCCCGUUCUGCAAUACGCAGAUGACACGUUAAUUAUUAUCAAAGCUGAAACGGAUGCAGUAGCUCACCUUAAACACAUCCUUGAUGACUUCUCGCUUGCCACUGGCCUCUCGAUCAAUUUCCAAAAAACCACGGUAGUCCCCAUUAAUGUCGACUCUGACCUUGCCUCUCAAAUGGCAAACACGCUCGGCGCCGAAAUUGCGGCCUUCCCCCAAAAAUACCGCGGCCUCCCCCUCUCCCCCCAUAAACUCCAAUCGACAGCUUUUCAGCCAAUUAUAGACCAAUGUGAUAUCUACCUAGCCGGAUGGCGUGCUUUCCUGCUGUCUCGAGGAGGUCGUCUUGUCCUUCUCUCAGCCGUCCUGGAUAGUCUGCCGACCUACUUUAUGAUGUGUUUCUCCCUGCCCGUCAGUGUCCUCGAGGAGAUAGACAAGCGUAGGAGGAUUUUUUCUGGUUUAACGACGACUCCUUCUCUGGGGCUAAGUGUCUGGUUGCGUGGGACUGAGUUUGUAUGCCAAAGCUUGCGGGUGGUCUUGGGGUCAAAAACUUGCGAGCACAAUUUUUUUGCCUUAUGUUGA